UUCGGUUGUUAUGGAAACGAAUCUGAAGGGAGAUACUGUUGGUGAACACUGCAACAAGCUGGUUUUGAUUUUAAGACUAUAUCUUUUGAGAAAUAACAACGUGGUUAUGAGUUUGAUGAUGAAAUUUGUGAUCUUGGUAUAUCUCUCAGUGUCAUGUCACUCUGUACAACUGGUUACAGUGUCCAGUGAUAAGCAUCUUAAGUGCUAUCAGUGUAAAAGCAACAGCAUUUCAGACAUUCCACCACUCUGUGAUCAUACAUUCUGGAAAGUUACUACAAAAGCAGAAAAACUAUCAAUGCAAUUAUCAUGUCCACAUAAACAGAGCCACUACUGUGUUAAAAAAGUUAUAUGGAAGAAUAAUAUUGUUCUAACUGAUCGUGGCUGUCAAAGGCCGGCUGACAAGUUGGGCACAGUUCGUAAAGAAGGUUGCAUGCAUAUGGCGAAACAAAAUACUACAAUAUGCUUAUGUAACAGUGAUCUAUGCAACUAUGCAGACUGGGGAACUAAGAGUGCACCAUUCACCAUUUUCGGACUUUGCUCGUUUGUCCUCUUCAGCAGAUAAAACAACAUGCUUCUACAACCAGGUGUAUACUGUCUAACUGCAACUCUGAAAUAUCGGCCACCAUCUACCACACUACACAAUGCAACAUCUUAAGAGACAACCCUCUCGAUACUUGUCACCGAGAACCUGAAUCUUACCACACUGAAAACAGUGAAGAAUAUGUGCCAUGUAGCCCGGGAGAAGUUUACCAAUGUUUCGGAUGCCAUCGCUCCCUCCAUCGACAGGGCGACGAGUAAACCACACGCGUCAAAACGGUCUGAGAUAUUGGAACUGGUCAGUCAAGGCAGAAUCUUUACCAAACCAGCGGGGAGUAAUGUCAGGAGCAGGCAAGGGCCUGUAACAUGCCCCUCCUCUCCUACUGGCUCUCAGGCCUUUGCCAAAUCCUGACCUUACUCCCCGCUGGUCUGGCCAAGGUCCUGUCUUGACCGACUGUUUCCGUGUGCCGUAGCUUACUCACUGGAGCAAAAUAUUAAAAUGGAUAUGAAGAAAUAUGAUGAACACUGGACUAAUCUGGCUUAGGAUAUGGUCAGUGGUAGGAUUUUUGCAAACAUGCAUGUACUUAAAUUUAUUUAUUACACAGUAAACUUUUAUAAAUUGA
Zootermopsis nevadensis is the source of this 1160-nucleotide long non-coding RNA. RefSeq lists it as uncharacterized. NCBI's taxonomy places the organism in Eukaryota, Metazoa, Arthropoda, Insecta, Blattodea, Termopsidae. The record is from RefSeq and is a predicted model, not a curated record.